RNAcentral lists this unclassified non-coding RNA (400 nucleotides) under soil metagenome. RNAcentral describes it as "partial contains 5.8S ribosomal RNA, internal transcribed spacer 2, and large subunit ribosomal RNA". The stretch from base 1 to 122 matches the Rfam family "5.8S ribosomal RNA", at positions 35 to 154 of the family's 154-position model. The record is from RNAcentral.
GAUGAAGAACGUAGCGAAAUGCGAUACUUGGUGUGAAUUGCAGAAUCCCGUGAACCAUCGAGUCUUUGAACGCAAGUUGCGCCUCAAGCCAUUAGGUUGAGGGCACGUCUGCCUGGGCGUCACAUAUCGUUGCCUGAUGCCAGUUUCCUCGUGAUGGGUGACUGUGAAGGGCGAAUGAUGGCUUCCCGUGAGCAUUGUUGCCUCAUGGUUGGUUGAAAAUUGAGUCCUUGGUAGGGAGCGCCGUGAUAGAUGGUGGUUGAGUGACGAACGAGACCCAAUCAUGUGAGACCCCUACCGAAUUUGGCCUUCAUGACCCACAUGCGUCUUUGGAACGCUCAUGACGAGACCUCAGGUCAGGCGGGGCUACCCGCUGAGUUUAAGCAUAUCAAUAAGCGGAGGA